Molecule: long non-coding RNA, 255 nt
Organism: Poecilia latipinna (sailfin molly)
Lineage: Eukaryota; Metazoa; Chordata; Actinopteri; Cyprinodontiformes; Poeciliidae
Exons: 3
Source: RefSeq, a predicted model, not a curated record
AACUACAGCAGCUUCAAUAACUCCAGCAGCUCCAAUGACAACUACAGUAGCAGGAGGCCAAACAACAACUAUAAGGCCUACAAUGAAAGACCUUUGUGGUUCCGAUCCAUGUGACAAAGCAACCUCAAAGUGCAAACCUACAGUGGGCAGUUUCGAAUGCACAUGUUUAGAUGGUUAUAUUAAAACAAACUACAGUGAAAGAUUAUGCAUGGCAUGUCCCUCUGGUUACAAAGCUGAGAACAACAAAUGUAAACC